Molecule: ribosomal RNA, 253 nt
Filed under: uncultured bacterium
Lineage: Bacteria
Description: partial 16S ribosomal RNA
Rfam family: Bacterial small subunit ribosomal RNA
Source: RNAcentral
UACGUGGGGGGCAAGCGUUGUUCGGAAUUCCUGGGCGUAAAGGGCUCGUAGGCGGCCAACUAAGUCAGACGUGAAAUCCCCAGGCUCAACCUGGGAACUGCGUCUGAUACUGGCAGGCUUGAAUUCGGGAGAGGGAUGCGGAAUUCCAGGUGUAGCGGUGAAAUGCGUAGAUAUCUGGAGGAACACCGGUGGCGAAGGCGGCAUCCUGGACCGAUAUUGACGCUGAGGCGCGAAAGCCAGGGGAGCAAACGGG